UACAGAGGUCUCAAGCGUUGUUCGGAUUUAUUGGGCGUAAAGGGCGUGUAGGUGGCGCCGUAAGUCAGGUGUGAAAUUUCGGGGCUUAACUUCGAAACUGCAUUUGAUACUGCGGUGCUUGAGGACUGGAGAGGAGACUGGAAUUUACGGUGUAGCGGUGAAAUGCGUAGAGAUCGUAAGGAAGACCAGUGGCGAAGGCGGGUCUCUGGACAGUUCCUGACACUGAGGCACGAAGGCCAGGGGAGCAAACAGG
Molecule: ribosomal RNA, 253 nt
Filed under: uncultured bacterium
Lineage: Bacteria
Description: partial 16S ribosomal RNA
Rfam family: Bacterial small subunit ribosomal RNA
Source: RNAcentral